GCUCUAAUGGCCUAGUGGUUAGAGUGUCCACCUCAGAUGCGGGAGGUCGUGGGUUUGUACCCCAGCUGAGUCA
Molecule: non-coding RNA, 73 nt
Organism: Potamilus streckersoni
Lineage: Eukaryota; Metazoa; Mollusca; Bivalvia; Unionida; Unionidae
Source: the annotation of a GenBank genome assembly